Non-coding RNA from Phasianus colchicus (ring-necked pheasant), 374 nucleotides. The record is from RefSeq and is a predicted model, not a curated record. Lineage: Eukaryota; Metazoa; Chordata; Aves; Galliformes; Phasianidae.
AGUUGGGGGCGUGGUUUCCGGCCGGAAGUUGGAGGUAACACCGGUCCCGCCCCCUUCCUUCCGUCAUGGCCGCAGUGUACGACGUGCUGACGGGCGCCACCGUGCGGAGGUUGGCUCAUCCCGGCGGCUGCGUCCGCGAUGUCUGCUGGCAUCCGGCCGGGGGGCGGCUCGUCAGCGCCUCGUGGGACGGCACCGUCCGCCUUUGGGAUUUUGGAGCGGAAGCCGAGUCGCCGGAUGAUGACGUCACGGAAAGGCGCGGAGGCGGCCAGAGGGGCGGCGCGGGAUGAUGACGUCACCGAACGGGGGGAGGGGGGGAAGGGGUUUCAAAACAGCUGUGGCCAAUAAACGGCGCCGGGAGCGGCGCGCUCUGAUGA